RNAcentral lists this ribosomal RNA (305 nucleotides) under uncultured bacterium. Its description in RNAcentral is "bacterial SSU rRNA". It matches the Rfam family "Bacterial small subunit ribosomal RNA", at positions 335 to 658 of the family's 1533-position model. The record is from RNAcentral.
GUCCUACGGGAGGCAGCAGUGGGGAAUAUUGCACAAUGGGGGGAACCCUGAUGCAGCGACGCCGCGUGGGUGAAGGAGUACUUCGGUACGUAAAGCCCUAUCAGCAGGAAAGAAAAUGACGGUACCUGACUAAGAAGCCCCGGCUAACUACGUGCCAGCAGCCGCGGUAAUACGUAGGGGGCAAGCGUUAUCCGGAUUUACUGGGUGUAAAGGGAGCGUAGACGGCAAUGCAAGUCCGGAGUGAAAGCCCGGGGCUCAACCCUGGGACUGCUCUGGAAACUGUACAGCUGGAGUGCGGGAGGGGG